GGAAGUCACAGGAUAUCCCUGGGCCAAUGGGAAGUCACAGGAUAUCCCAGGGCCAAUGGGAAGUCACAGGACUCUCUCAGUUUGAAUGGGCUGUGGGUAAAGGCUGUGGGGCGCAACAAUGGGGGAACAUGGCCGCUGGUAACUACCCUAUACCCCCAACAUCUGAGAAAUAGGGAAUGACCAUGAAGCCAGCCAGAUGGUGAAGAGCAGGAGGCCCACCGGGAGUUUUCCUCGUAUACUGGUGGUAUCACUGGUAACACCAAAAGAAAGCUGGUUUGGCUGAGCUUACAUCCCCCACCACUGCUCCACCACUUCCAUUGCCGAAUGCGUAUGGACCCUGAACAUAUAAUGUAAGAUACAUGCAUUGCCGUUGGAAAUCCUCAUAGGUAACAAAUGAGGCCACACCUCCAAAUCAUAAAACUUGACUUUUAUUCAAGCAAUUUAUGAACAUUGUAAGUCAUGGAAGGGCUGGAAGUUCCACCUGAUGCUUUUCGCACAUUGCCAGUCCGUAAGCAUAGGCUGAUAUCCAAUCACAAAACAGCAUUUAAAUACUGCUUAAUUUAGGUGACAUUUUAAUUGCGACCAGUUACACAAACAUAAUAUCUCUAAAUCACCAGAAAUAGUCUACAUUCCAUAUCUCACGUAACCCUUUAGGUACCCUAGUCUGUAGAGUAAAGAUCCAGAAGACUUUCUGGCAAUUGAAAAUAUUUCUGUCCUAGUUGGACCUUCAAACUGUUCUUCUAAAUAACCCUGACUGUCUCUCCCGAGGAGAGUACCAUAGUACCCACCCUACCAUAGCUACUUCUUCUUAUAGGAACCCUUUCCCUGUGAUUUC
Molecule: long non-coding RNA, 835 nt
Organism: Xenopus tropicalis (tropical clawed frog)
Lineage: Eukaryota; Metazoa; Chordata; Amphibia; Anura; Pipidae
Exons: 2
Source: RefSeq, a predicted model, not a curated record